GGGUCACCAAUUAUCUAAAUGGGUUUUCCCUGACAAAUUUAUGUAAAUAUCGAUGGGUGAUGGUUAAAUCCAUGAAGUAUACUCCAUAUAUUAUAAGACUUGCUGGUUAAGGUGAUCACUUUAAGCUACACAAUGAAGUAGGAUGAUAAUUCACAGAUUGAGUUGAGUGAGAAGGAUCCCUGAAAACCAAUUUUGUUAUACAUCAGAGGUUUCCAGCAA
Molecule: long non-coding RNA, 219 nt
Filed under: Elaeis guineensis (African oil palm)
Lineage: Eukaryota; Viridiplantae; Streptophyta; Magnoliopsida; Arecales; Arecaceae
Description: long non-coding RNA (EGUI_LNC000880)
Source: RNAcentral